UACGUAGGGCGCAAGCGUUGUCCGGAAUUAUUGGGCGUAAAGAGCUCGUAGGCGGUGUGUCGCGUCGGAUGUGAAAGCCCGGGGCUUAACCCCGGGUCUGCAUUCGAUACGGGCAGACUGGAGUGUGGUAGGGGAGAUCGGAAUUCCAGGUGUAGCGGUGAAAUGCGUAGAUAUCUGGAGGAAUACCGGUGGCGAAGGCGGCAUCCUGGACCGGCAUUGACGCUGAGGAGCGAAAGCUAGGGGAGCAAACGGG
Molecule: ribosomal RNA, 253 nt
Filed under: uncultured bacterium
Lineage: Bacteria
Description: partial 16S ribosomal RNA
Rfam family: Bacterial small subunit ribosomal RNA
Source: RNAcentral